GCCGGGUGUGAUGGCACACACCUGUAGUCCCAGCUAUUUGGGGGGCUGAGGCAGGAGAAUCACUUGAGCCUAGGAGGCGGAGGUUGCAGUGAACCGAGAUUGCGCCACUGCACCCCAUCCUGGGCGACAGAGUGAGACCCUGUCUCAA
Papio anubis (olive baboon) is the source of this 148-nucleotide unclassified non-coding RNA. It matches the Rfam family "Metazoan signal recognition particle RNA". Rfam says of the family: The signal recognition particle (SRP) is a universally conserved ribonucleoprotein. It is involved in the co-translational targeting of proteins to membranes. The record is from Ensembl. NCBI's taxonomy places the organism in Eukaryota, Metazoa, Chordata, Mammalia, Primates, Cercopithecidae.